GUGCAACCCCCAUCUCGGCUCACUGCAACCCCCAUCUCCCAGGCUCAAGCAAGUCUUCUGCCUCAUCCUCCCAAGUAGCUGGGAUUACAGGCAUGUGCCACCAUGCCCAGAUGAGCCCUCAAUGGACUGAACGAUGCUCACCCACACUGUGAGGGCUGGUCUUCUUUAUUCAAUCCACUGACUUAAGUGCUGAUCUCUUCUGGAAACACCUUCACAGACACACCCAGAAAUAAUGUUCUACCAGCCAUGGGCCUGUUACUUAGCCCAGUCAAGUUGACACAGAAAAUUAGCUAUCACAACAUCUGUG
This 307-nucleotide long non-coding RNA is filed under the name Homo sapiens (human). RNAcentral describes it as "HSALNT0020772". Lineage: Eukaryota; Metazoa; Chordata; Mammalia; Primates; Hominidae. The record is from RNAcentral.